This 70-nucleotide transfer RNA is filed under the name Loxodonta africana (African savanna elephant). It matches the Rfam family "tRNA". Rfam says of the family: Transfer RNA (tRNA) molecules are approximately 80 nucleotides in length. Their secondary structure includes four short double-helical elements and three loops (D, anti-codon, and T loops). Further hydrogen bonds mediate the characteristic L-shaped molecular structure. tRNAs have two regions of fundamental functional importance: the anti-codon, which is responsible for specific mRNA codon recognition, and the 3' end, to which the tRNAs corresponding amino acid is attached (by aminoacyl-tRNA synthetases). tRNAs cope with the degeneracy of the genetic code in two manners: having more than one tRNA (with a specific anti-codon) for a particular amino acid; and 'wobble' base-pairing, i.e. permitting non-standard base-pairing at the 3rd anti-codon position. Lineage: Eukaryota; Metazoa; Chordata; Mammalia; Proboscidea; Elephantidae. The record is from Rfam by way of RNAcentral.
GCACUGGUGGUUCAGUGGUAGAAUUCUCACCUUCUAUGCAGAGACCCAGGUUGAAUUCCCAGCCAAUGCA